Long non-coding RNA from Branchiostoma floridae (Florida lancelet), 716 nucleotides. RefSeq lists it as uncharacterized. The record is from RefSeq and is a predicted model, not a curated record. Lineage: Eukaryota; Metazoa; Chordata; Leptocardii; Amphioxiformes; Branchiostomatidae. The transcript has 3 exons.
UCUAAGUCAGUACCAAAGUCUACAAUGGCUCAUUUGCAUACUUGUCUUACACCUUGGAGUAUAUAUUUCCAUCCCCGCGAGCCCUCCUCAUUCAUUCCCGCCAGCCGUGACCUCAGAGUGACAUCGUGCCGUGAUCUACUUGUCCAGGAAUUCUCUGAAGCUACACCAUGAAGCUGUUUGUCUGCAUGAUGCUGGUGACGAUGGUUGUCAUGGCAACGCUAUUCGACGACUCUGAGGGAUGGAGGCGUCGGCGCAGGCGCAGAAGGGGUCGUCUUGAUGUCGAUGCAGAUGCUGACUCCGAGUUGAGGGAGGUUGUGGAAGAGGCGAGGUCGCUCCUGGAGGAACUUGAUGAGGCCAGUGAACACUUGGAUACACGGGAACUACAGGACGAGGAAGUGGAGAACAUACUCGCGGAUCAGGAAAAAGUUCAAAAGAGAAGGACUCUCGAGCAAGGAGUAUAGUUGAGUUGAAUCUAGUUUAGAACCAAAGGAUGAUUGGUCGUCGAAUUUAUUUUUCUUCGAUUGAAUAUGUUUUGUCUCGUGUUAAUCCUUUCACACAACAUGUAAUGUUAUUCAACCAAAAUAUCAAUUUGAGCUGGUAAAAAUUGUGUCUGCUAAUGGAUUCAAUCUGUUGAAUAAGAAUCAGCCAAGUCAAUGUAUUAUAUUUUGUACUUGAUUCUUACUGAUUUAAUAAAAUUUUAUUGAUGGCAAACUGAA